ACCUCAGCCUCCUAAAGUGCUGGGAUUACAGGCGUGCGCCGCCGCACCUGGCCAGUGAUAUUUUUAUUUACCUAUAAUACAAAUGAAAGUUUGAGAUUAAAAAGAACCAGGCAACUUAUGAGAUGACUUGCUGAAAAAGAUGGUGAACCUCUGAUAGCCAUCACCUAGACUUCAAUUCUGUUUAGUAAAAUGGAGAGAAGGAUCGUUUUAAUGCUUACUAAGAUACCUUUCUAAAAUAAAAAUCAUGGCCCUCUCACGUUCUUAAGAUUCACUGUUAAUAGUAGUUUUUCUGGGGGAAAUGGUUAACUUUUUCUGACAUCAAUUGUAAAAUGUGUUUCCUCUUUGGGAACUGUUGAAUGAUGCAGCGUGGGGGUAAGGUGGAACCACAUCUUGGAACUGGGAAACUACCAUGUACAAAUCCAGUGUUAGAAAAUGACUCUUGGCUGGGUGCGGUGGCUCAUGCCUGUAAUCCCAGCACUUUGGGAGGCCGAGGCAGGCAGAUCAUGAGGUCAGGAGUUUGAGACCAGCUUGGCCAACAUAGUGAAACCCCGUCUCUACUAAAAAUACAAAAAAUUAGCCAGGCGUCGUGGCGGGCACCUGUAAUCCCAGCUACUUGGAAGGCUGAGGCAGGAGAAUCACUUGAACCCAGGAGGCGAAGGUUGCAGUGAGCCGAGAUGGCGCCAUGGCACUCCAGCCUGGACGACAGAGCAAGACUCUGUCUCAAAAAUAAAAAAAGAAAAAAAAAAAAGAAAAUGAUUCUCCACUGGGUUCUGUUAAUGGUAGGUGUUUUGACUAACAUAUCAGCUUUCAGAAACUCAUUUGAGAUUCAACCAGUCAUCAUUGGAGAGGGUACAGCCACUGUUAGUCACUAUGUUAUACAACAAUAUACACUAAUUAUGCUUUCUCUUGGUGAGUUGUACGGCUCACAUAUUUAAAACAAGCUUUUGUGUUGUCCCACCUUGAUUUUAAUCCCUUUAACAUUUCAACCUAAGUAACUCAUUAAGUCUACCAAAAGUAUAAGGUGUGGCUAUAAUUUUAUGAGACUAAUUUUCUUGUAAACAGGCAUUGAUGCCACAUAAAUAGUAAUCUGAAAAAAUGCUUUGAACAAUGAAAUCAUGGCUGUGCUUUCAGUACUAUACUUUGAAAAAAUCCAUUUGGCUGUGUAAAUUCUAUUUUUUAAAGUCUCACUGUUUCAUCAUCACAGUUUUAAUGUCUAUUUUAGCAUUUUUUUUCUUGCUACUAUUUGACAUGGCAUAACACACUUUAACUCCUGAAAGACAGAGAACCCUGUCAUUGAUACUGAUGUUAUUCAAUGUUUUAGUGAAAAUCACCAACUGUAGCUGCUGCGGGAUUAACCAACACAACUAGUUGACAGCAUGGGCUUUGCGAUUAAACCAACUUGGGUUCUAGUUCUCAGUUCCACUGUCUUUCCCUGUGUAACCUAGAGAAGCUAUUUGUUUUCUGGAUAUAUCGGAAGAAUGGGCAUAAGGAUGGAACCUAUGCCAUAGGGUUGCUGGGGACUGAGCGAAGUAGGUUUCAGGUGUUGAGCACACUGCCUGUCAUCUAUAGGCCAAUUGUGAAGGAAGCCCCCAGUAACCUGUGUUCAUCGGGUUACAGAUGACAGCCCUGAACAUGUGACAGCAGCGGGGAAUAGGCUGAAGAUUCAGAAGAGGACUGAGUGUUGGAAAAUUUACAGUGCCUGCCCCUUCCCAAUUAACCAUGGCCUCCUUGAGACUCUGCACCUCCUUGACAUCCUCAUCCCUGCCAGCUAAAGAUCUCAUCACCCAGUCUGAGAGAUGCUAUUCUAAGGAGCAAAGGCCUGGGGAAGAACAGAGACAAUCUAAACAAAUCUGAGUAUAAAAGUUGCAGUGGCCACGAUAUUGUCUUUCGUUCAGAUUGAAAGCACUUGAAAGCCGGGUGGUUUUCGUAAGGGCUGCCUGGAUGGGUUUGCACUCUCUAGGACCAGGCACUGAGGAAAGAUCAGCCCCAGCUAAUUGGAACAUGAGAAGCAAAGCAGGCACAGCCUAUACCAGAUGCCAGCAUGUGGCGAGCAGAUGAGAUUGCUCACAAAGCACCUCUGAGCUUUGGUGAGCCCUGCAGUGAGCAUUGCACAGUCCUGGCUUUGUGCAGCGCUGAGGGCUGUCUCCAGAGCUGAGCCUGGAGGGCAGGUGAGACUCUAAAGCCAUUGUUGCUGUCCUCCAGUUGAGCAGUGGGAGUCUGAACUAACUUUGAAAGGACCUGUAAUGACAACCAGGCCAACCUGUGGGCUCUGUUUUACUGUGGUUGCCUCAUACAUCUUCCUGUUGGGGGAAAAAAAAAUCACUAUGGUGUAGAAUAUAAUUCAGUGAUUCUACUGAUUUCAGAUUCCAAGGCAAGUUAUAGAUGGAGAAGAGAAAAUGACUAGUAUACAAAUUCCACUGUGACUACAGAGAAAACCGUUAAGAUGAUGUAUGAUGACCUCUAUUUGUAUGCAGUAUUCUCAUUCCAUCUGGCAAAUACAUUUUCUACCAAUUUCUCCCACUUAGUGGGGAUCAAAAAUUUAAUAAUUUAGCUGGUAACAUCCCAAGCUAUUAUACAUUAAGAAAAAUACUUAUAUGAACACAUCAGUGUAGAUGACCCAAUAAAAUCCAAACUCUGCCCCUUUUGUACAAGUACUUCCAUGAUCCUGACUCCAAAACAGAGUGCUUAGUCCUGUUACCAACUGCUUCCCUAGGCAGAAAUAUGCUCACAUGUUCUGUGGCUACAAGGCAGUACAUAAACAAGAUACUUUUUGCACUGGACAAAACAUGUUUUCUAACACAUUAUAAAACAAUUCAAGGGGAAAUUAAUUUACUAGUCACUUCCUGUCAGGCUUCUCUCUCCUUUACCUCUCACAUACCCUGGCAGAGGUCUGUGACACCUUAGCCCAUGAGGAAGUGUGCCCAGAGGGGUUUAGUGUGCUGUUCCCAACAGUGGGAUGAGUAGAUUUUGUCCAGCUCUGUGGACUCUAAACCAGGGCUUUCUCCGCUGGGCCACCUCCUUCCUAAUAUAACCUGUUUUAAGUCCCAAUUACCAUCCAGGGAAAAGGACCCUUGCACAUUGUAACAAAUACAGACAGUAGGCAUUUCUUAUAUGCCUACAGUAGACAGACAAUACAAAACAUUUUUCUGGCGUCCAGUUAUUUGAGCAUAGCCCAUUAGAAAGUGCUCAGUAAAAAUGUACUGAAUGAAGGCAACUGUUAUUUAACACCAGUUUACUGUGGAUGAACCAUGUUAUAAACAAACAUUAGCACUGCUUCUUCAAUAAAGGCAAAUAGACAGUUUU
Molecule: long non-coding RNA, 3303 nt
Organism: Macaca mulatta (Rhesus monkey)
Lineage: Eukaryota; Metazoa; Chordata; Mammalia; Primates; Cercopithecidae
Source: RefSeq, a predicted model, not a curated record